This 82-nucleotide transfer RNA is filed under the name Caballeronia telluris. RNAcentral describes it as "Paraburkholderia telluris tRNA-Ile". Lineage: Bacteria; Pseudomonadati; Pseudomonadota; Betaproteobacteria; Burkholderiales; Burkholderiaceae. The record is from RNAcentral.
GCCGGAAGCGGCGCGCGGCGCAGCGGUCCGGUCGUUAAUGUCGGCGGGCGGUUCCGCGUCGCGUUCGGACGCGGUUGCGGCC